This 72-nucleotide transfer RNA is filed under the name Bos taurus (domestic cattle). It matches the Rfam family "tRNA". Rfam says of the family: Transfer RNA (tRNA) molecules are approximately 80 nucleotides in length. Their secondary structure includes four short double-helical elements and three loops (D, anti-codon, and T loops). RNAcentral also lists the same sequence under 5 other names. Lineage: Eukaryota; Metazoa; Chordata; Mammalia; Artiodactyla; Bovidae. The record is from Rfam by way of RNAcentral.
UCCCUUGUGGCUCAGAUGGUAAAGAGUCUGCCUGCAACGCAGGAGUCCCAGGUUCAAUCCCUGGGUGGGGAA